AUUUUAGUGUCUUCUUUGUCUCCAAAGCUAAAUGCGGCUGUUGUCCUUUCUCAGAAGUGAUAUAAAACGCAUCACUCGAGCUGCUGCGCAAAUGUCACUGGACUACACCAUUUUGUAAACAUAGCCAUACUGAACACACAGAGGGAGUUUUG
Molecule: long non-coding RNA, 152 nt
Organism: Etheostoma cragini (Arkansas darter)
Lineage: Eukaryota; Metazoa; Chordata; Actinopteri; Perciformes; Percidae
Exons: 3
Source: RefSeq, a predicted model, not a curated record